AUUGAACGCUGGCGGCAUGCCUUACACAUGCAAGUCGAACGGUAACGCGGGGCAACCUGGCGACGAGUGGCGAACGGGUGAGUAAUGCAUCGGAACGUGCCCAGAAGUGGGGGAUAGCCCGGCGAAAGCCGGAUUAAUACCGCAUGAGACCUGAGGGUGAAAGCGGGGGAUCGCAAGACCUCGCGCUUUUGGAGCGGCCGAUGUCAGAUUAGCUAGUUGGUGGGGUAAAGGCCUACCAAGGCGACGAUCUGUAGCUGGUCUGAGAGGACGACCAGCCACACUGGGACUGAGACACGGCCCAGACUCCUACGGGAGGCAGCAGUGGGGAAUUUUGGGCAAGGGGCGCAAGCCUGAUCCAGCCAUGCCGCGUGCGGGAAGAAGGCCUUCGGGUUGUAAACCGCUUUUGUCAGGGAAGAAACGCUCUGGGCUAAUACCCUGGGGUAAUGACGGUACCUGAAGAAUAAGCACCGGCUAACUACGUG
RNAcentral lists this ribosomal RNA (482 nucleotides) under uncultured bacterium. RNAcentral describes it as "partial 16S ribosomal RNA". It matches the Rfam family "Bacterial small subunit ribosomal RNA", at positions 29 to 507 of the family's 1533-position model. The record is from RNAcentral.